CUGGGCACCAGCAUGUCUGGAGCAGGAAACAUGACUCAUCGCGGGUCCCGUGUGGCUUCAGGUACCCGAGUUGCGGAACUGGGGACUUUGUGACCGCAGAUACUGGUCAACAGGAACUGUGAGUGAAGUCAGUGAGCAGAUGAUUCGUGCGAAUUUGCAGCGAACACGCAUGCGCUUCUCAUGAGUCCCAAGGAAGGAGCUCAGCAGAGAAGUCACUCGGAGCGCCUGACCCGUCUCGGCUGAGCCCAAACUUCCUACGUCAGUCUGUGGCCAGUAGCUUCUUGCUUGAACCUUCUGCUCGCUGCUGUGGACGCCAGUACGAUCCUCAUGAAGCCGCUGAUCCUGUGGGCUCUUGCCCUGCUGCACACAGGUUCGGGCCUCCUUGUGCCCGGAGGCGACGUGGCGUCGCACCCACAGCUCAUGCACUGCUCAUUCCAAGCGCAGCUAGAGGGCCUGCGCCGCAUCUGGUGCAAGAAGAGCAGCGAGCUGUGCUGCUCAGGCGUGGCCUUUAGCAGCGACACGCAGCAGCUGGAAGAGGGCGCCGUGAGCGUGCAGCAGGACCGCAGCACCUUCAACCUCACCAUCUGGCGCCUGGACCAAGGAGAAGGCACCUACUGGUGCGGCCUGCUGAACCUCAACAACACGGUCAUCAAGCUGGCCGAGAGCUACCUACGCUCGCCAGUACCCCCACAAGACCCAGGCAACCUGUGGAGCCUCCUUCGCUGGGUCCUGAUGCCACUGCUCCCCCUGGUGGCCGCCACCAUCCACUUGUGCUCCAGUCGCUGCGGUGCGUGUGCAGGAAAACCCCAUGUGAACCAGAGAGGCGAGGAAAGCGUGUACGAGGUGGCUCAGUGUGGACAGCAGUGACACACUUGGACCGCUCUGCACACUGGAACAUAAACGACCUUCUUUUGUGAAAUAUCUUCUGGAAAACUGAACCCAGAUGGCAAAAGUCUUUGUUCGUGUAGAGUUUUACAACCAGCGAUAAGUAAAAUAUUAAAAAUGAGUGUCAUCAUUUUGUUUGUCCCCUCUAUUCCUCCUUUUCCCACAACACAGCAGUGUAAAGUACCUGCUCAGUGGUUUUACACUUUUACACAUAUUUUACAUAAGACCUUCUCCCUUUGAUUUGAUUAAGAUCCAUUUAAUAAAGGAGACAUUGGGGUGUUUUCA
This 1170-nucleotide long non-coding RNA is filed under the name Scleropages formosus (Asian bonytongue). Its description in RNAcentral is "lncRNA (ENSSFOG00015024423.1)". The record is from RNAcentral. Lineage: Eukaryota; Metazoa; Chordata; Actinopteri; Osteoglossiformes; Osteoglossidae.